RNAcentral lists this ribosomal RNA (408 nucleotides) under uncultured bacterium. RNAcentral describes it as "partial 16S ribosomal RNA". It matches the Rfam family "Bacterial small subunit ribosomal RNA", at positions 28 to 526 of the family's 1533-position model. The record is from RNAcentral.
GACGAACGCUGGCGGCGUGCUUAACACAUGCAAGUCGAACGAAGUGGCGAACGGGUGAGUAACGCGUAAUCAACCUGCCCUUCAGAGGGGGACAACAGUUGGAAACGACUGCUAAUACCGCAUACUGAAGGAGGGGAAUGCGUCUGAUUAGCUAGUUGGAGGGGUAACGGCCUACCAAGGAGAUUAUCAGUCGCCGGUCUGAGAGGAUGAACGGGCACAUUGGGACUGAGACACGGCCCAGACUCCUACGGGAGGCAGCAGUGGGGAAUCUUCCGCAAUGGACGGAAGUCUGACGGCGCAACGCCGCGUGAGUGAUGACGGCCUUCGGGUUGUAAAGCUCUGUUAAUCGGGACGCGGUACCGGAAUAGAAAGCCACGGCUAACUACGUGCCAGCAGCCGCGGUAAUUC